This 699-nucleotide ribosomal RNA is filed under the name uncultured archaeon. RNAcentral describes it as "bacterial SSU rRNA". It matches the Rfam family "Archaeal small subunit ribosomal RNA", at positions 325 to 1025 of the family's 1478-position model. The record is from RNAcentral.
ACGGGGUGCAGCAGGCGCGAAAACUGGCCAAUGCGCGAAAGCGUGAGCCGGCGACUCCGAGUGAUGGCCUACCGGCCAUUCUUUUGUCAAGCGUUCAAAACUUGGCGAAUAACGAGAGGGCAAGACUGGUGCCAGCCGCCGCGGUAAAACCAGCUCUUGGAGUGGUGGGCAUGUUUAUUUGGCUUAAAGAGUGCGUAGCAGGACAGCGUAAGUCCUCAGUGAAAUGCCAAGUCUCAAGCUUGGCGCGUGCUGGGGAUACUGUGCGUCUUGGGAACAGAAGAGGUCCAGGGUACUCACUGGGUAGGGGUGAAAUCCGAUAAUCCAGUGAGGACCACCGGUGGCGAAGGCGCUGGACUGGAAUGUGUCCGACUGUGAGGCACGAAAGCUAGGGUAGCGAGCCGGAUUAGAUACCCGGGUAGUCCUAGCCGUAAACGAUGCGCGCUAAGUGUUGGGUGAUGCUAGACAUCAUCCGGUGCCGAAGGGAAACCGUUAAGCGCGCCGCCUGGGAAGUACGUUCGCAAGGAUGAAACUUAAAGGAAUUGGCGGGGGCCUACUACAAGAAGUGGAGCCUGCGGUUCAAUUGGACUCAACUCCGGGAAACUCACCAGGACCGUAACGUGGAUGAUUGCCCUGCUAAAGACACUGCUUGAUGCGUUACUGGAGGUGCAUGGCCAUCGUCAGUUCGUGCCGUGAGGUGUC